This 427-nucleotide ribosomal RNA is filed under the name uncultured bacterium. RNAcentral's name for it is "bacterial SSU rRNA". It matches the Rfam family "Bacterial small subunit ribosomal RNA", at positions 355 to 774 of the family's 1533-position model. The record is from RNAcentral.
UGGGGAAUGUUGGACAAGGGGCGCAAGCCUGAUCCAGCCAUGCCGCGUGCAGGAUGAAGGCCUUCGGGUUGUAAACUGCUUUUGUACGGAACGAAAAGGUUUGGCCUAAUAAGCUGAGCUCAUGACGGUACCGUAAGAAUAAGCACCGGCUAACUACGUGCCAGCAGCCGCGGUAAUACGUAGGGUGCGAGCGUUAAUCGGAAUUACUGGGCGUAGAGCGUGCGCAGGCGGUUAUGUAAGUCAGUGGUGAAAUCCCCGGGCUCAACCUGGGAAUUGCAUCUGUGACUGCAUAGCUGGAGUGCGGCAGAGGGGGAUGGAGUUCCGCGGGUAGCAGUGAAAUGCGUAGAUAUGCGGAGGAACACCGAUGGCGAAGGCAAUCCCCUGGGCCUGCACCGACGCUCAUGCACGAAAGCGUGGGGAGCAAACA